AUGUCUGUCGACCUGUACCCGCCGGCGGUGCCGCCUGAUUUCUGCGGCUUCACAAACCUAAGGGAGCUCAAGCUCGACUCCGUGCUAGGAGAUAUCCAUUGCCUGCUGCUGCCGGCCUUCUCUGUCCUCGAGUGGCUAAGCGUCACACGCUGCACCCUCCACAGCUUCAGUACAUCCCAGCCGCCGGGUCGGCUGCGUUACAUGUGUGUCCAGUACUGUCACAUGCACGAGCUUGAGGUGCAAGCUCCGAAACUUGCCAAGUUCGAGUUUGCCAGCUUUGAGGUCCAUCCGGUAUUUGUGUUGAUGAGUGCGUAG
This 315-nucleotide ribosomal RNA is filed under the name Triticum aestivum (bread wheat). RNAcentral describes it as "partial small subunit ribosomal RNA". Lineage: Eukaryota; Viridiplantae; Streptophyta; Magnoliopsida; Poales; Poaceae. The record is from RNAcentral.